Molecule: transfer RNA, 71 nt
Filed under: Loxodonta africana (African savanna elephant)
Lineage: Eukaryota; Metazoa; Chordata; Mammalia; Proboscidea; Elephantidae
Rfam family: tRNA
About the family: Transfer RNA (tRNA) molecules are approximately 80 nucleotides in length. Their secondary structure includes four short double-helical elements and three loops (D, anti-codon, and T loops). Further hydrogen bonds mediate the characteristic L-shaped molecular structure. tRNAs have two regions of fundamental functional importance: the anti-codon, which is responsible for specific mRNA codon recognition, and the 3' end, to which the tRNAs corresponding amino acid is attached (by aminoacyl-tRNA synthetases). tRNAs cope with the degeneracy of the genetic code in two manners: having more than one tRNA (with a specific anti-codon) for a particular amino acid; and 'wobble' base-pairing, i.e. permitting non-standard base-pairing at the 3rd anti-codon position.
Source: Rfam by way of RNAcentral
ACAUUAGUUGUUCAGUGGUAGAAUUCUCACCUUCCAUACGGGAGACCUGGGUUCGAUUCCCAUCCGGUGUG